GAUGAACGCUGGCGGCGUGCCUAAUACAUGCAAGUCGAGCGAACGGACGAGAAGCUUGCUUCUCUGAUGUUAGCGGCGGACGGGUGAGUAACACGUGGAUAACCUACCUAUAAUACUGGGAUAACUUCGGGAAACCGUAGCUAAUACCGGAUAAUAUUUUGAACCGCAUGGUUCAAAAGUGAAAUACGGCCUUGCUGUCACUUAUAGAUGGAUCCGCGCUGCAUUAGCUAGUUGGUAAGGUAACGGCCUACCAAGGCAGAGAUGCCUAGCCGACCUGAGAGGGGGAUAGGCCGCACGGGAACUGGGACGCGGUCCAGACUCCUAAGGGAGGGAGCAGUAGGGAAACUUCCGCAAUGGGGGGAAGCCUGACGGAGCAACGGCGCGUGGGUGAUGGAGGUCUUCGGAUCGGAAAACCCUGUUAUUAGGGGAAAACAUAUGUGUAAGUAAAUGAGCACAUCGUGACGGUACCUAAUCAGAAAGCCACGGCUAACUACGUG
RNAcentral lists this ribosomal RNA (497 nucleotides) under uncultured bacterium. RNAcentral's name for it is "partial 16S ribosomal RNA". It matches the Rfam family "Bacterial small subunit ribosomal RNA", at positions 28 to 507 of the family's 1533-position model. The record is from RNAcentral.